Molecule: ribosomal RNA, 380 nt
Filed under: uncultured eukaryote
Lineage: Eukaryota
Description: partial 18S ribosomal RNA
Rfam family: Eukaryotic small subunit ribosomal RNA
Source: RNAcentral
CAAUAGCGUAUAUUAAAGUUGUUGCAGUUAAAAAGCUCGUAGUUGGAUUUGUGGCGUACGGUGUGUUCCGGGCACUUGUUGUCUGAGUAACCUGCUGUUGCCAUCCUUGGGUGGAACCUGUGUGGCAUUAGGUUGUCGUGCAGGGGAUGCCCAUCAUUUACUGUGAAAAAAUUAGAGUGUUCAAAGCAGGCUUAUGCCGUUGAAUAUAUUAGCAUGGAAUAAUGAGAUAGGACUUUUUUGCUAUUUUGUUGGUUUGCGCAAAGAGGUAAUGAUUAAUAGGGACAGUUGGGGGGAUUCGUAUUCCAUUGUCAGAGGUGAAAUUCUUGGGUUUUUGGAAGACGAACUACUGCGAAAGCAUUUACCAAGGAUGUUUUCAUUAA